UCCAGGGGUGAAAUGAAUGGUGAAUUAUGAGGAAGGGUCCUCUGUCUCCAGGGCAUGACAACUGAUUCUUAUCCCAGCCCUCGCGAUCGUCUCAUUGGCUCACCAAGCUGCAAGCAGACGCGAGAACCCUCAUGCCUUUGAAGACAGACUAACUCAGGAAAGGACUUCAGGAAGCUUGUUGUGACUCCUUUGCUUUUCCUUCCUGCCAUUGAUGUUUUGCAAGGCCAGGCUUUGCUUGUACUUCCUAUUUGGCUGCAUGGUGAGUAGUUUUCUCGUUCGCUGUUAUUUUUGACUUCCGUCCAAGCUUUGUAUGAUAUUAAUAGCCGUUUUGGAGAAUGAUGUUUUUCCUCAAACUAGGCCUAAUCGUGGCAUGAAACAGAGCCAAGACCUGAUGCUAAGGCUUGAGGAACUUCACUUCUGAAUUUCUCCUCUAUGCAGAAUUGAAUAUAUUUUCAGGGAGUAUAAAACAUCACGAGCAUUUCUGC
Long non-coding RNA from Nothoprocta perdicaria, 485 nucleotides. RefSeq lists it as uncharacterized. The record is from RefSeq and is a predicted model, not a curated record. The transcript is spliced from 3 exons. NCBI's taxonomy places the organism in Eukaryota, Metazoa, Chordata, Aves, Tinamiformes, Tinamidae.